This 253-nucleotide ribosomal RNA is filed under the name uncultured bacterium. RNAcentral describes it as "partial 16S ribosomal RNA". It matches the Rfam family "Bacterial small subunit ribosomal RNA", at positions 524 to 776 of the family's 1533-position model. The record is from RNAcentral.
UACGUAGGGGGCUAGCGUUGUCCGGAAUCAUUGGGCGUAAAGCGCGUGUAGGCGGCGCGGUAAGUCCGCUGUGAAAGUCGGGGGCUCAACCCUCGGAUGCCGGUGGAUACUGUCGGGCUAGAGUACGGAAGAGGCGAGUGGAAUUCCUGGUGUAGCGGUGAAAUGCGCAGAUAUCAGGAGGAACACCGAUUGCGAAGGCAGCUCGCUGGGACGUUACUGACGCUGAGACGCGAAAGCGUGGGGAGCAAACAGG